CAACCAUAUUUCUAUCAUAGCAUUCAACCAAGUCAGGUAUAUUUAUUCAGUUAAUAGUUAAAAUUAAGACAAGCAUGCGCGGGUCAUUUACUUUUUGAUUAACACUACAUGUAGACUUCUGUGGUGUCAUCGGACUCGGGAUGGCCAACAUCUCAUAAUCACCAGCCGCCAACUAGCACUCAACCAAGUCAGAGUUCCCAAAUGUUAUCAGACUCAGGAUGGCCAACAUCUCAAAAAUGACCAGCUGCCAAUUCAGGUCUUGGGUAGCCAAUCAAGUCACAUACAAGAUAAACACUUUUAAAUAGCUCUAUGUAAACUUUGUAUCUCAGGAUUGCUCUACAAGACAGUUCUCUUGAGAUGUAAUAAUUUAUCUUACCAUUCCUUUUAAUGUUAGAUGCACAACGGUUUAUGCUCAAAUAAAAAUAUAUACAUGAAUAUGGAUUAGUUGUUGGUUAUUCCUUAUGAUAUGUUAGACAUGUAACUGAGCUUUAGUUUUCCAGUUAAAUGUGGUCUUAUAGGCACUAAAUUCAUUAAAAG
Molecule: long non-coding RNA, 537 nt
Organism: Triticum dicoccoides
Lineage: Eukaryota; Viridiplantae; Streptophyta; Magnoliopsida; Poales; Poaceae
Exons: 3
Source: RefSeq, a predicted model, not a curated record